RNAcentral lists this ribosomal RNA (640 nucleotides) under uncultured bacterium. RNAcentral describes it as "bacterial SSU rRNA". It matches the Rfam family "Bacterial small subunit ribosomal RNA", at positions 202 to 842 of the family's 1533-position model. The record is from RNAcentral.
GAAAGAUUCAUCGGAAGAGGAUGGGCAUGCGGCGCAUUAGCUAGACGGCGGGGUAACGGCCCACCGUGGCGACGAUGCGUAGGGGUUCUGAGAGGAAGGUCCCCCACACUGGUACUGAGACACGGACCAGACUCCUACGGGAGGCAGCAGUGAGGAAUAUUGGUCAAUGGGAGAGAUCCUGAACCAGCCAAGCCGCGUGAGGGAAGACGGCCCUAUGGGUUGUAAACCUCUUUUGUCGGAGAACAAAACCCGGGACGUGUCCCGGACUGCGUGUAUCCGAAGAAAAAGCAUCGGCUAACUCCGUGCCAGCAGCCGCGGUAAUACGGAGGAUGCGAGCGUUAUCCGGAUUUAUUGGGUUUAAAGGGUGCGUAGGCGGUCCGUUAAGUCAGCGGUAAAAUUGCGGGGCUCAACCCCGUCGAGCCGUUGAAACUGGUAGACUUGAGUUGGCGAGAAGUACGCGGAGUGCGCGGUGUAGCGGUGAAAUGCAUAGAUAUCGCGCAGAACUCCGAUUGCGAAGGCAGCGUACCGGCGCCAGACUGACGCUGAGGCACGAAAGCGUGGGGAUCGAACAGGAUUAGAUACCCUGGUAGUCCACGCAGUAAACGAUGAAUGCUGGUUGUCCGGGUCGAAUGAGAUCUGG